RNAcentral lists this ribosomal RNA (891 nucleotides) under uncultured bacterium. RNAcentral's name for it is "bacterial SSU rRNA". It matches the Rfam family "Bacterial small subunit ribosomal RNA", at positions 495 to 1397 of the family's 1533-position model. The record is from RNAcentral.
GGCUAACUACGUGCCAGCAGCCGCGGUCAUACGUAGGACCCAAGCGUUAUCCGGAGUGACUGGGCGUAAAGAGUUGCGUAGGUGGUUUGCAAAGCGAAUAGUGAAAUCUGGGGGCUCAACCUCACAGGCUAUUAUUCGAACUCGCAAACUCGAGAGUGGUAGAGGUAACUGGAAUUUCUAGUGUAGGAGUGAAAUCCGUAGAUAUUAGAAGGAACACCAAUGGCGUAGGCAGGUUACUGGACCAUUUCUGACACUGAGGCACGAAAGCGUGGGGAGCGAACCGGAUUAGAUACCCGGGUAGUCCACGCCGUAAACUAUGGAUACUAGCUGUUGGAGGUAUCGACCCCUCCAGUAGCGAAGCUAACGCGUUAAGUAUCCCGCCUGUGGAGUACGGCCGCAAGGCUAAAACAUAAAGGAAUUGACGGGGACCCGCACAAGCGGUGGAUCGUGUUCUUUAAUUCGAUGCUAAACGAAGAACCUUACCAGGGCUUGACAUCUAGGGAAUUUUUGGGAAACCAAUUAGUGCCUUUUGGAACCCUAUGACAGGUGAUGCAUGGCCGUCGUCAGCUCGUGUCGUGAGAUGUUUGGUUAAGUCCAUCAACGAGCGCAACCCUUGUACUUAGUUGUAUUUUUCUAAGUAGACUGCCCCGGUAACGGGGAGGAAGGAGGGGAUGAUGUCAGGUCAGUAUUUCCCUUACGUCCUGGGCUAGAAACACGAUACAAUGGCAAGUACAAUGCGCAGCGGAGCCGCGAGGUGGAGCAAAUCGCAUCAAAGCUUGUCCCAGUUCGGAUUGGAGGCUGAAACUCGCCUCCAUGAAGUCGGAAUCGCUAGUAAUCGCAGAUCAGCAAGUUGCGGUGAAUACGUUCCCGGGUCUUGUACACACCGCCCGU